Molecule: ribosomal RNA, 770 nt
Filed under: Halomonas sediminicola
Lineage: Bacteria; Pseudomonadati; Pseudomonadota; Gammaproteobacteria; Oceanospirillales; Halomonadaceae
Description: bacterial SSU rRNA
Rfam family: Bacterial small subunit ribosomal RNA
Source: RNAcentral
UUCUGGACUGACACUGACACUGAGGUGCGAAAGCGUGGGUAGCAAACAGGAUUAGAUACCCUGGUAGUCCACGCCGUAAACGAUGUCGACUAGCCGUUGGGUCCCUUGAGGACUUUGUGGCGCAGUUAACGCGAUAAGUCGACCGCCUGGGGAGUACGGCCGCAAGGUUAAAACUCAAAUGAAUUGACGGGGGCCCGCACAAGCGGUGGAGCAUGUGGUUUAAUUCGAUGCAACGCGAAGAACCUUACCUACCCUUGACAUCGUGCGAACUUGGUAGAGAUACCUUGGUGCCUUCGGGAGCGCACAGACAGGUGCUGCAUGGCUGUCGUCAGCUCGUGUUGUGAAAUGUUGGGUUAAGUCCCGUAACGAGCGCAACCCUUGUCCCUAUUUGCCAGCGAUUCGGUCGGGAACUCUAGGGAGACUGCCGGUGACAAACCGGAGGAAGGUGGGGACGACGUCAAGUCAUCAUGGCCCUUACGGGUAGGGCUACACACGUGCUACAAUGGCCGGUACAAAGGGUUGCGAAGCCGCGAGGUGGAGCCAAUCCCGAAAAGCCGGUCUCAGUCCGGAUCGGAGUCUGCAACUCGACUCCGUGAAGUCGGAAUCGCUAGUAAUCGUGAAUCAGAAUGUCACGGUGAAUACGUUCCCGGGCCUUGUACACACCGCCCGUCACACCAUGGGAGUGGACUGCACCAGAAGUGGUUAGCUUAACCUUCGGGGGAGCGAUCACCACGGUGUGGUUUCAUGACUGGGGUGAAGUCGUAACAAGU